GGAACCUGAAAACCUAGUCUCAGUUCGGAUCGGAGCUGNAACCCGACUCCGUGAAGCUGGAUUCGCUAGUAAUCGCGCAUCAGCCAUGGCGCGGUGAAUACGUUCCCGGGCCUUGUACACACCGCCCGUCAAGCCAUGGGAGCCGGGAGUGCCUGAAGUCCGUGACCGCGAGGAGCGGCCUAGGGUAAGACCGGUGACUGGGGCUAAGUCGUAACAAGGUAAC
Molecule: ribosomal RNA, 223 nt
Filed under: uncultured bacterium
Lineage: Bacteria
Description: partial 16S ribosomal RNA
Rfam family: Bacterial small subunit ribosomal RNA
Source: RNAcentral